CGCAGGCUGCAACCCGCCUGCGUGAAGUUGGAAUCGCUAGUAAUCGCGGAUCAGCAUGCCGCGGUGAAUACGUUCCCGGGCCUUGUACACACCGCCCGUCACACCAUGAGAGUUGGGAAUACCCGAAGCCUGUGAGCUAACAUUUAUGAGGCAGCAGUCGAAGGUAGAAUCAAUGAUUGGGGUGAAGUCGUAACAAGGUAUC
Molecule: ribosomal RNA, 202 nt
Filed under: uncultured bacterium
Lineage: Bacteria
Description: partial 16S ribosomal RNA
Rfam family: Bacterial small subunit ribosomal RNA
Source: RNAcentral